UUGCAAGUAUAGUUUAACAAAACCUCUCGCUUACACCGAAAAUUUAUCUGUGAAAAUCAGAUUACUUUGAGCCAAAAAUUAAGCCUACUCAUUUUUUAUAAAAACUAUACCCGACUAAACCACAAUAAAACAUUUUAACAGUUUAGUAAAGGCGAUUAAAAAACUUUCUAGCGCUUUACUUUUAGUACCGUAAGGGAAAAAUGAAAUAGUCUUGAAAUAGUCUUUAAGCAACAAACAGCAGAGACUUUUACUCGUACCUUUUGCAUCAUGGUUUAGCUAGUCUUCUUCAAGCAAAGCGAAACAUCAGUUUGACCCCCCGAAACUAAACGAGCUACUUCAAAACAGCUUAUAGAGCCAACCCGUCUCUGUUGCAAAAGAGUGGGAUGAUUUUUAAGUAGAGGUGAAAAGCCUACCGAGCUUAGAGAUAGCUGGUUAUUCAGGAAAAGAAUUUUAGUUCUACCUUAAGUUUCCCGUUAAUUCAAAAAAAUUUUUAAACUUAAGAGCUAUUCAAAUAAGGCACAGCUUAUUUGAAAAAGGAUACAACCUAUAAAAAAGGGUAAAAAAAUUUACACAUGUUAAGUGGGCCUAAAAGCAGCCACCUUUAAGAAAGCGUUAAAGCUCCUCUCUAUUCUCCCAACCAAUCCCCAAAUACACCUUUAACCCUUUACCCCUACUGAAUGAUUCUAUACCAAUAUAGAAACCCCCCUGCUAAAACUAGUAAUAAGAAAUUGAUUUUUCUCCAAAAUAUAAAUAUAAGCCAAAAUGGACAAACCAUUGGUUAUUAACGUCAAUAAGAUCAUAUAGUAACUUCACCAGAAAACACUAUUAACCUAUACGUUAACCUUACACAAGAAUAUUUCUGGAAAGAUUUAAAAAAAGAGAAGGAACUCGGCAAACCAUAACCCCGCCUGUUUACCAAAAACAUCGCCUCUUGAAAAGUUAUAAGAGGUCCAGCCUGCCCAGUGAUAUAUUUAACGGCCGCGGUACCCUGACCGUGCAAAGGUAGCAUAAUCACUUGUUCUCUAAAUAGGGACUAGUAUCAACGGCAUCACGAGGGUUAUACUGUCUCCUCUUUUUAAUCAGUGAAACUGACCUCCCCGUGAAGAGGCGGGGAUAGUCAUACAAGACGAGAAGACCCCAUGGAGCUUCAAACUCAAUAGCAGCCCACACUAAAUUUUAUCUAAAUAAUGAAAAAGCAAUGUUUAUUGGUUUUGGGUUGGGGUGACCACGGAGAAAAACUAAACCUCCACGAUGAAUGGACCUUAAUCCCAAUCUGCGAGCUACUACUCCAAGAAUCAAUAAUUUGACAUAAUAUGAUCCGGCAACCGAUCAACGAACCAAGUUACCCUGGGGAUAACAGCGCAAUCCAUUUCAAGAGCUCCUAUCGACAAAUGGGUUUACGACCUCGAUGUUGGAUCAGGGUAUCCUAGUGGUGCAGCCGCUACUAAAGGUU
RNAcentral lists this ribosomal RNA (1453 nucleotides) under Limnonectes cf. kuhlii 'lineage 13'. RNAcentral describes it as "partial contains 12S ribosomal RNA, tRNA-Val, and 16S ribosomal RNA; may also contain tRNA-Phe". It matches the Rfam family "Bacterial large subunit ribosomal RNA", at positions 145 to 2573 of the family's 2925-position model. Lineage: Eukaryota; Metazoa; Chordata; Amphibia; Anura; Dicroglossidae. The record is from RNAcentral.